Molecule: ribosomal RNA, 548 nt
Filed under: Escherichia coli
Lineage: Bacteria; Pseudomonadati; Pseudomonadota; Gammaproteobacteria; Enterobacterales; Enterobacteriaceae
Description: partial 23S ribosomal RNA
Rfam family: Bacterial large subunit ribosomal RNA
Source: RNAcentral
UGGUGGGUAGUUUGACUGGGGCGGUCUCCUCCUAAAGAGUAACGGAGGAGCACGAAGGUUGGCUAAUCCUGGUCGGACAUCAGGAGGUUAGUGCAAUGGCAUAAGCCAGCUUGACUGCGAGCGUGACGGCGCGAGCAGGUGCGAAAGCAGGUCAUAGUGAUCCGGUGGUUCUGAAUGGAAGGGCCAUCGCUCAACGGAUAAAAGGUACUCCGGGGAUAACAGGCUGAUACCGCCCAAGAGUUCAUAUCGACGGCGGUGUUUGGCACCUCGAUGUCGGCUCAUCACAUCCUGGGGCUGAAGUAGGUCCCAAGGGUAUGGCUGUUCGCCAUUUAAAGUGGUACGCGAGCUGGGUUUAGAACGUCGUGAGACAGUUCGGUCCCUAUCUGCCGUGGGCGCUGGAGAAUUGAGGGGGGCUGCUCCUAGUACGAGAGGACCGGAGUGGACGCAUCACUGGUGUUCGGGUUGUCAUGCCAAUGGCACUGCCCGGUAGCUAAAUGCGGAAGAGAUAAGUGCUGAAAGCAUCUAAGCACGAAACUUGCCCCGAGAUG